RNAcentral lists this ribosomal RNA (740 nucleotides) under Nocardia sp. RNAcentral's name for it is "bacterial SSU rRNA". It matches the Rfam family "Bacterial small subunit ribosomal RNA", at positions 98 to 850 of the family's 1533-position model. Lineage: Bacteria; Bacillati; Actinomycetota; Actinomycetes; Mycobacteriales; Nocardiaceae. The record is from RNAcentral.
GCGAAAGGGUGAGUAACACGUGGGUGAUCUGCCUCGCACUUCGGGAUAAGCCUGGGAAACUGGGUCUAAUACCGGAUAUGACCUUUCAGUGCAUGCUGUUGGGUGGAAAGAUUUAUCGGUGCGAGAUGGGCCCGCGGCCUAUCAGCUUGUUGGCGGGGUAACGGCCCACCAAGGCGACGACGGGUAGCCGACCUGAGAGGGUGACCGGCCACACUGGGACUGAGACACGGCCCAGACUCCUACGGGAGGCAGCAGUGGGGAAUAUUGCACAAUGGGCGAAAGCCUGAUGCAGCGACGCCGCGUGAGGGAUGACGGCCUUCGGGUUGUAAACCUCUUUCGACAGGGACGAAGCGCAAGUGACGGUACCUGUAGAAGAAGCACCGGCCAACUACGUGCCAGCAGCCGCGGUAAUACGUAGGGUGCGAGCGUUGUCCGGAAUUACUGGGCGUAAAGAGCUUGUAGGCGGUUUGUCGCGUCGUCCGUGAAAACUUGGGGCUCAACCCCAAGCUUGCGGGCGAUACGGGCAGACUUGAGUACUUCAGGGGAGACUGGAAUUCCUGGUGUAGCGGUGAAAUGCGCAGAUAUCAGGAGGAACACCGGUGGCGAAGGCGGGUCUCUGGGAAGUAACUGACGCUGAGAAGCGAAAGCGUGGGUAGCGAACAGGAUUAGAUACCCUGGUAGUCCACGCCGUAAACGGUGGGUACUAGGUGUGGGUUUCCUUCCACGGGAUCCGUGCCGUA